CAAAAUCAACAUGUCCUGAACCAGCAACAAAGUAGUUGAACUUACCAAAUCGACCAAAAUCCACAUAUCCAUGCACAAUUAUAAGAAGUUGAGAAAAUAUGAACCAUGCCUAUAUCACAGAAAAUAUUUAUGCAUGCGGUGGUAUGAUAUUAUUUAAGCCAUAUAGAUGUGCAUGAGUGGUCCUGGGUUAACCAUCACUUUUAAUGUCACUACCACAACAAUAGCAGCCAUUAAUGAGAGAGUGAUCUGCAGUGAGAACCCUUGUAUUCAUGCAAUUUUUAGAAGUGAAACACCAGAAUCCUAUCCCUGUCUGAGAAAAAAAGAAAAAGAAAACUAGCACUUGCCUUAUUUGUCAAUCAAUGAAAAUUUUCUCAUUUGAUAAAGAACAUCCAUUUUUCUUUUUAAAAUCUAAUUUCAUAUAAUUAGGGAAAGAAUAUUUACCUUGGGUACACACAUGUUCGAGAAUGGCAAUCCAAUUAAGUGUCAAAGUCAUGACUUUCUUAAGUUUCAUGGUAAACUGUAUUUCCAUUUACAACCAUGGCCCACCAUCAAAGUAAAAGACGUUGAUGAUGAUAAGCAUAGUUACAAAACUUUUACCAAUUCCAUGAUUGUUAUUGCAAGAAAGCAUUAAACAAAAUUUAAUCACCAUUAAGUUGCAUGAGUGGUUAAGGUUUGCAAAUUGUGCUUAUGUUUUGACUAAAUAUAGUGAUUAAAAAAGAAAGCCUCUAUGUGAUUCUUCUCUACAUUUUUUUGAUUCCUUUGGAAUCAAUCAUUUUCUGCACCAACAUUUUCAUAAUUGAAAGACAAAUCCUAGAAAGAAAAAAUGAAAGCAAGAAAAAGGAGCAUGUUGGUAAAGUACUUGAAAGCAUGGUGUUACGGACUAACGUUUCUGAUCUUUUCUUAAUGUCUUUGCAAAAUGGAACCACCAAGUCAGUAUUUUCCUGCACCCAGACCAACUGAUAACAUAAUAUCCUGAUCCUCUGGAUAAAGAUUCAUAAAUAGCACACUCAAAACGUAAAUUACCUUUCCUUCAUACUCAAAAGGAUGCCCAAUCCAACUGUUCUAAAUAACAAUUUAAGAGAAAAAUAUUUUCAACAAAUACUAAAUCCAAAAAAAAAUAAAAAAAAAUAUCCUAUUUGAGAUCCAAACACUUAAUAAGAGUAAAAACUAAAAACCAUGAUUCCAAUAACCAUGUGAGCAUAGAUGACUACUAAGAAAGACCUAAACAGGACGCCCCAUUUGCGAAUUACCGACCCCAUCCAUCAUGCAGUCUUGCAGAAUGAAAUGUCUACUCCAAUGUGAGAAGAUGCUAAUAAUUAAAAUUGCAUACUCUGAACAUCGAUGCAUAAUCUCAGAACCCGUAUCAAUUUAGGAUACAAAGUCUACAGGCGACUAGAACUAUCAAGAGCAUAGCAGCCGGAACUCGGUACAGCAAUCGAGGCAAUCCCAGGUGCUUGAGACUAAUAUGCACUAGCAAUGUAAAGAAUGAACAGAACCGAAUCGGAGACUCUGCAUUGCUUCAAAAUUCAAGC
RNAcentral lists this unclassified non-coding RNA (1532 nucleotides) under Hevea brasiliensis (rubber tree). The record is from RNAcentral. Lineage: Eukaryota; Viridiplantae; Streptophyta; Magnoliopsida; Malpighiales; Euphorbiaceae.